This 30-nucleotide non-coding RNA is filed under the name Rattus norvegicus (Norway rat). The record is from RNAcentral. Lineage: Eukaryota; Metazoa; Chordata; Mammalia; Rodentia; Muridae.
UAUCAGUGACUUAAAUAAGGAGUCUUGCCA